UUACCACAAAGAUAUCCCAACACAUAAUUGAUAAUUUAUAGUUGUUAUGAUUUUCAUAUUUGUUUCAGAUAAAUAAAACAACUGCAUAUGAUUAAUGACUGAGAAGAGAGCUCUACAGGAGAUGGAAGAUUUAACAAGUGGAUCCACCAGGAUGAAACUCAAACCUUUGCCUUAGAGAACCUUAGCAUGGUAGCACAAAACAGAAAAAGGCAUCCUGGGAGAUGUGUCGUCUGAAGGAGUGGAGGAGCACAUCUUGGAACAAAAAGAAGAGCUCAGAAUUCCAGCUGUCCUUCAACAACAAGAAGAAACCCCGCCUCCAGAGGUUCAACACAAAUACAG
Long non-coding RNA from Mesocricetus auratus (golden hamster), 339 nucleotides. RefSeq lists it as uncharacterized. NCBI's taxonomy places the organism in Eukaryota, Metazoa, Chordata, Mammalia, Rodentia, Cricetidae. The transcript has 4 exons. The record is from RefSeq and is a predicted model, not a curated record.